AGAGUUUGAUCCUGGCUCAGGAUGAACGCCGGCGGUGUGCCUAAUACAUGCAAGUCGUACGCACUGGCCCAACUGAUUGAUGGUGCUUGCACCUGAUUGACGUUGGAUCACCAGUGAGUGGCGGACGGGUGAGUAACACGUAGGUAACCUGCCCCGGAGCGGGGGAUAACAUUUGGAAACAGAUGCUAAUACCGCAUAACAACAAAAGCCACAUGGCUUUUGUUUGAAAGAUGGCUUUGGCUAUCACUCUGGGAUGGACCUGCGGUGCAUUAGCUAGUUGGUAAGGUAACGGCUUACCAAGGCGAUGAUGCAUAGCCGAGUUGAGAGACUGAUCGGCCACAAUGGAACUGAGACACGGUCCAUACUCCUACGGGAGGCAGCAGUAGGGAAUCUUCCACAAUGGGCGCAAGCCUGAUGGAGCAACACCGCGUGAGUGAAGAAGGGUUUCGGCUCGUAAAACUCUGUUGUUGGAGAAGAACGUGCGUGAGAGUAACUGUUCACGCAGUGACGGUAUCCAACCAGAAAGUCACGGCUAACUACGUGCCAGCAGCCGCGGUAAUACGUAGGUGGCAAGCGUUAUCCGGAUUUAUUGGGCGUAAAGCGAGCGCAGGCGGUUGCUUAGGUCUGAUGUGAAAGCCUUCGGCUUAACCGAAGAAGUGCAUCGGAAACCGGGCGACUUGAGUGCAGAAGAGGACAGUGGAACUCCAUGUGUAGCGGUGGAAUGCGUAGAUAUAUGGAAGAACACCAGUGGCGAAGGCGGCUGUCUGGUCUGCAACUGACGCUGAGGCUCGAAAGCAUGGGUAGCGAACAGGAUUAGAUACCCUGGUAGUCCAUGCCGUAAACGAUGAGUGCUAGGUGUUGGAGGGUUUCCGCCCUUCAGUGCCGGAGCUAACGCAUUAAGCACUCCGCCUGGGGAGUACGACCGCAAGGUUGAAACUCAAAGGAAUUGACGGGGGCCCGCACAAGCGGUGGAGCAUGUGGUUUAAUUCGAAGCUACGCGAAGAACCUUACCAGGUCUUGACAUCUUGCGCUAACCUUAGAGAUAAGGCGUUCCCUUCGGGGACGCAAUGACAGGUGGUGCAUGGUCGUCGUCAGCUCGUGUCGUGAGAUGUUGGGUUAAGUCCCGCAACGAGCGCAACCCUUGUUACUAGUUGCCAGCAUUAAGUUGGGCACUCUAGUGAGACUGCCGGUGACAAACCGGAGGAAGGUGGGGACGACGUCAGAUCAUCAUGCCCCUUAUGACCUGGGCUACACACGUGCUACAAUGGACGGUACAACGAGUCGCAAGCUCGCGAGAGUAAGCUAAUCUCUUAAAGCCGUUCUCAGUUCGGACUGUAGGCUGCAACUCGCCUACACGAAGUCGGAAUCGCUAGUAAUCGCGGAUCAGCAUGCCGCGGUGAAUACGUUCCCGGGCCUUGUACACAACGCCCGUCA
Molecule: ribosomal RNA, 1434 nt
Filed under: uncultured bacterium
Lineage: Bacteria
Description: 16S ribosomal RNA
Rfam family: Bacterial small subunit ribosomal RNA
Source: RNAcentral